Molecule: transfer RNA, 72 nt
Filed under: Chloroflexota bacterium
Lineage: Bacteria; Bacillati; Chloroflexota
Description: Chloroflexi bacterium (anaerobic digester metagenome) tRNA-OTHER
Rfam family: tRNA
About the family: Transfer RNA (tRNA) molecules are approximately 80 nucleotides in length. Their secondary structure includes four short double-helical elements and three loops (D, anti-codon, and T loops). Further hydrogen bonds mediate the characteristic L-shaped molecular structure. tRNAs have two regions of fundamental functional importance: the anti-codon, which is responsible for specific mRNA codon recognition, and the 3' end, to which the tRNAs corresponding amino acid is attached (by aminoacyl-tRNA synthetases). tRNAs cope with the degeneracy of the genetic code in two manners: having more than one tRNA (with a specific anti-codon) for a particular amino acid; and 'wobble' base-pairing, i.e. permitting non-standard base-pairing at the 3rd anti-codon position.
Source: RNAcentral
GCGCCUGUAGCUUAAUUGGGAGAGUGCUCCCGGAUGCGGGAGCAGGUGCUGGUUCGAGCCCAGCCAGGCGCU